RNAcentral lists this non-coding RNA (32 nucleotides) under Rattus norvegicus (Norway rat). The record is from RNAcentral. Lineage: Eukaryota; Metazoa; Chordata; Mammalia; Rodentia; Muridae.
UUACCCAAUAUAAUGAACAAUUUCAGGGACCC